Molecule: ribosomal RNA, 473 nt
Filed under: uncultured bacterium
Lineage: Bacteria
Description: bacterial SSU rRNA
Rfam family: Bacterial small subunit ribosomal RNA
Source: RNAcentral
UCGAGAGGCUUCGGCAAUGGGGGAAACCCUGACCGAGCGACGCCGCGUGGGUGAUGAAGAUUCUCGGAUCGUAAAACCCUGUCAGGUGGGAUGAAAAACCAUUCGGUUAAUACCCGAGUGGCUUGACAGUACCACCAGAGGAAGCUCCGGCCAACUCCGUGCCAGCAGCCGCGGUAACACGGGGGGAGCAAGCGUUGUUCGGAUUCAUUGGGCGUAAAGAGCUCGUAGGCCGCUCUGUAAGUCGGAAGUGAAAGACCACGGCUCAACCGUGGAAACGCUUUCGAAACUGUGGAGCUUGAGGCCGGGAGAGGAGAUCGGAAUUCCUGGUGUAGCGGUGAAAUGCGUAGAUAUCUGGAGGAACACCGGUGGCGAAGGCGACAUCCUGGACCAAUUCUGACGCUGAGGAGCGAAAGCCAGGGGAGCAAACGGGAUUAGAUACCCCGGUAGUCCCUGAGCGGGCUGGCAAGGCGCAU